AGUGAACGCUGGCGGCAGGCCUAAUACAUGCAAGUCGAACGGCAGCACAGCAGAGCUUGCUCUGUGGGUGGCGAGUGGCGGACGGGUGAGGAAUACGUGGGAAUCUGCCCAGUCGUGGGGGAUAACGUAGGGAAACUUACGCUAAUACCGCAUGCGCCCUUCGGGGGAAAGCCGGGGACCUUCGGGCCUGGCGCGAUUGGAUGAGCCCACGUCGGAUUAGCUAGUUGGCGGGUAAAGGCCCACCAAGGCGACGAUCCGUAGCUGGUCUGAGAGGAUGAUCAGCCACACUGGAACUGAGACACGGUCCAGACUCCUACGGGAGGCAGCAGUAGGGAAUAUUGGACAAUGGGCGCAAGCCUGAUCCAGCCAUGCCGCGUGAGUGAAGAAGGCCCUCGGGUUGUAAAGCUCUUUGUCCGGAAAGAAAAGCGCCGGGUUAAUACCCUGGUGUCCUGACGGUACCGGAAGAAUAAGCACCGGCUAACUUCGUGCCAGCAGCCGCGGUAAU
This 505-nucleotide ribosomal RNA is filed under the name uncultured bacterium. Its description in RNAcentral is "bacterial SSU rRNA". It matches the Rfam family "Bacterial small subunit ribosomal RNA", at positions 29 to 524 of the family's 1533-position model. The record is from RNAcentral.